UAUUGGACAAUGGGCGCAAGCCUGAUCCAGCAAUGCCGUGUGUGUGAAGAAGGCCUUCGGGUUGUAAAGCACUUUUAGUGGGGAAGAAAGUCUUAAGAUUAAUAAUCUUGAGAAUUGACGUUACCCACAGAAAAAGCACUGGCUAACUCUGUGCCAGCAGCCGCGGUAAUACAGAGAGUGCGAGCGUUAAUCGGAAUUACUGGGCGUAAAGCGUACGUAGGUGGAUGUUUAAGUCAGAUGUGAAAGCCCCGAGCUUAACUUGGAAUUGCAUUUAUACUGGGCGUCAGAGAAGAGAGGGAAGUGAAUUUCUGGUGAGCGGUAAAUGCGAGUUCAGAGAACAUCAGUGCAAAGCGCUUCCUGGCAAUCUGACUUCAUCAGAUAG
This 382-nucleotide ribosomal RNA is filed under the name uncultured bacterium. Its description in RNAcentral is "bacterial SSU rRNA". It matches the Rfam family "Bacterial small subunit ribosomal RNA", at positions 362 to 759 of the family's 1533-position model. The record is from RNAcentral.